GGAUGAUGAUGAUCUCAAUUAAUAAAUCUCGUUUGCCUUAAUGGCUCGACCACAUUAAGGACCAGCCUGAUAUAUCAACACCUACAUACCAAGUCC
Dioscorea cayenensis subsp. rotundata (Guinea yam) is the source of this 96-nucleotide small nucleolar RNA. RefSeq annotates it as small nucleolar RNA Z43. The transcript has a single exon. The record is from RefSeq and is a predicted model, not a curated record. NCBI's taxonomy places the organism in Eukaryota, Viridiplantae, Streptophyta, Magnoliopsida, Dioscoreales, Dioscoreaceae.